This 336-nucleotide ribosomal RNA is filed under the name Triticum aestivum (bread wheat). RNAcentral's name for it is "partial small subunit ribosomal RNA". Lineage: Eukaryota; Viridiplantae; Streptophyta; Magnoliopsida; Poales; Poaceae. The record is from RNAcentral.
AUGGCAUCUCCUUUAACAAAUUUGUCACGAGUAAAUUGCAAAAAACCAUCACAUUUAUGGACUCUAAAUCAAAAAACCAUCACGUUUUUUUUUUUUGCAAAAAACAUCCGGUAUUGUACUGAUAGUUUGCUAAAAACACCGAUCCGUCAAUUAGAGCUGUUUAACACGAAAACUGACAACUGGGUCCCUACGCAAGUGAUGACGUGGCAUGGAAACAACUCACACCGUUGGCUCAAAUAUUACGCUGGCUUAGGGCCCACUCGUCAUCCUCUCUCCCACCAUUCUUCCUCCUCUUGCCAACGCGAACGCUCCCGUGUCCUCGCCGGCCUUGGCUAG